AGAGUUUGAUCCUGGCUCAGGAUGAACGCUAGCUACAGGCUUAACACAUGCAAGUCGAGGGGCAGCAUGUUGGUUGCUUGCAACCAAUGAUGGCGACCGGCGCACGGGUGAGUAACGCGUAUCCAACCUACCCUUGUCCAUCGGAUAACCCGUCGAAAGGCGGCCUAACACGAUAUGCGGUUCACAGCAGGCAUCUAAGGUGAACGAAUGUGAAGGAGAAGGAUGGGGAUGCGUCUGAUUAGCUUGUUGGCGGGGUAACGGCCACCAAGGCGACGAUCAGUAGGGGUUCUGAGAGGAACGGUCCCCCACAUUGGGAACUGAGACACGGUCCAAACUCCUACGGGAGGCCA
Molecule: ribosomal RNA, 350 nt
Filed under: uncultured bacterium
Lineage: Bacteria
Description: bacterial SSU rRNA
Rfam family: Bacterial small subunit ribosomal RNA
Source: RNAcentral